UGGGUACAAAUUGAAUCUUAGCAAGGAUUGAUGUAAUUAUAUAUAGAAAAUUUAGUUAUAGAAAAGUAUAUACAAUUUUGAGCAUACUAAAUACACCUUGAUAAGAGAUAAUUUUAUAACAUAUAUAUAUAAUGUGCUGUCUCAACAUUGAUUUUAGUUCUCAAAUUCUUCUUUAGCAGUUGAAUUAUGCAUGCUUCAAGAUUUGGGUAUUAUAGUCCUCCUUUUCUUCAUAGGGAAUAAGAUUGAGUUGAACAAUGGAAUUGUCUUCCGGAUCAUCCAUUGUUUCAAUAUACAUACAACAACACCAUUCUAAGGAAGCAAAAAAGGUAGCUGCCACACUAUGAUAGACCCACGCUGCCACUCCAACACCAUCAUGCUUUUUGCACGUGCUUGAUGAAUUCUUGACUUUUGUCCCUUUGGAAAAGCAUGUCUUGGUGCAGCUCAUCGCAGACCCGAAAUUUACCUCUUUUGACUGAUUUAUUAACUUAGCAAGGUUGAUUGAAGAAUGAAGUUAUAAUUAUUUGAUUAAUUCAUUUUUAGUUGUAACUAAUAAGCUCCCUAAUCCACAAGUUUAGUAGAAAAGGG
This 585-nucleotide long non-coding RNA is filed under the name Cicer arietinum (chickpea). RNAcentral describes it as "long non-coding RNA (CARI_LNC002246)". Lineage: Eukaryota; Viridiplantae; Streptophyta; Magnoliopsida; Fabales; Fabaceae. The record is from RNAcentral.